UUAGUUAAAACCAAAAAGAGGUGUGUCACUGUUAAUGAUUUAAUUGAUUUAUUAAUCUAACUAAA
This 65-nucleotide transfer RNA is filed under the name Drilonius striatulus. RNAcentral's name for it is "tRNA-Asn". The record is from RNAcentral. Lineage: Eukaryota; Metazoa; Arthropoda; Insecta; Coleoptera; Omethidae.